AAAUCCAAAGAGAAAAAAGUUGGAAAUCUCAAAAUUCGUGUUUGGGUAGGGUUCUCCUUUCUCCUCUCUCCUUACAUCGUUUCCCUCUCUCAUCUGCACAACUAGACUUCUCCAUUUUCAGAUCUGGUUUUCAUAUUUUUAAUUUCUCUUUGGACCAAGAAUUUGUAGACAAGAUGAUGAUUUCAUAUGAUCUUGUCAGCUUCUUCUCAUGGAUUUCACUUUCUAAUUUCUGUUUAGAUACAUUUGCAGACAAGUGCAGUGCAGAUGAAAAGAAAAUGGGUUAUUUUGCUAACAUUUCAGAUGGUGCGUAGCCUUUGCCAUAGUUUUUAGUUUUUCAAGUUCUAUUUGGACAAUACAUUUGCAUCCAAGUUUAAGUCAAUUAGUACAAUGGAUGGGAGUGAAGGUAGAAGAGUUGGGGGUAGAAAUAUAUCCAGGCUUUGCAACUAGUUAGGUAUUAUAUGAUUCAAACGACAUGUUUAUUGGCAUUGGAACAAAUGAUAUGGCAGUUGCAAAAGAUGGUUCAAAGAAGGCAAAUUUCCAACAUAGCAUAGAACUGUUUCUCGUUUGGUUUGCCUCUUCUUCUAUGCUUUGUAUCUCUCGCCCUAUAUGCUGAUAAAACCUCAUUCCAAAGAAAAUUCCAUUUAGAGAUUUAGUUCGGAUUUUAUUACUUUUGAUUUUUUGUUCUAAUAACUUAGGAUUUUAUUACUCUAGUUUUUUCACAGGUUUUAGAUAACGAGGAUGAUGAAGUGGGAGUCAGCAGAACAGCAAGUGCGACUCUGCUAUCUAUCUUAAAACUUCAUCAAACCAAAAAAUUCCUUUGCCGACAAUGAAAAGGGUGUGUCUUCUUUACCAACAACAUCAAAUAUGGCAUGGCAUGCCAAAUUCGUUUCAAGGUUUAUAGGCUGCAGCAUGAACAUUGAAUCUCCCCUGUGACCAGUGGCGGCAGUGGCGGACCUAAAGAGGCGCAAGGAGGUGCAGCUGCACCUCCCCUCUCCGGAAAAUCACUUUGAGAAGCUGGAAAUGCCCCUCUGCUACUACCCACCAACUGUUCGAUUAUUUGCUCCAAAGAAGCUCCAGGCAGCAGCUCCUUUGCGCAGGCUGCAGCGCG
Molecule: non-coding RNA, 1108 nt
Organism: Prunus avium (sweet cherry)
Lineage: Eukaryota; Viridiplantae; Streptophyta; Magnoliopsida; Rosales; Rosaceae
Source: RefSeq, a predicted model, not a curated record